AGAUGUGAGGGCGAUCUGGCUGCGAUAUUUGUCACCCCAUUGAUCACCAGGGUUGAUUGUUCCGAUCUGGCUGGCUACGCAGGUGUCCCCUUCCUCCCUCACUGCUCCAUGUGCAUCCCUCCUGAAGCUGUGAGCUUGGUGAAAGUGGACAGCCUUCCUUGAAUGGAGACGGAGGGGUCUUUGGUCGAGGGUAUAUGAGUAGCUGCUCUACCCUGCUAGAAUCUCCAAACAUGCUCUCAAGAAUACUGCAGAUGAAGAUGUGAGGGUCUCCAUUUUGGAAAAAGCUAGUAGGUCUAUUUUAGGUAUAUUCCAAGGGGCCCAUGACUUUAUUA
Unclassified non-coding RNA from Erinaceus europaeus (western European hedgehog), 332 nucleotides. Its record names the gene 7SK. It matches the Rfam family "7SK RNA". From Rfam's summary of the family: 7SK was discovered as an abundant small nuclear RNA in the mid-70s but a possible function has only recently been suggested. Two independent studies have found that 7SK RNA binds the CDK9/cyclin T complex (known as elongation factor P-TEFb). The record is from Ensembl. NCBI's taxonomy places the organism in Eukaryota, Metazoa, Chordata, Mammalia, Eulipotyphla, Erinaceidae.